CGCAAUGGGCGAAAGCCUGACGGAGCGACGCCGCGUGAUGGAUGACGUUCUUCGGGAUGUAAACAUCUUUUAUGAGGGAAGAAGCCGCGUUAUGCGGUAUGACGGUACCUCAUGAAUAAGGGGUUGCUAAACUCGUGCCAGCAGCAGCGGUAAUACGAGUACCCCAAGCGUUACCCGGAUUUAUUGGGCGUAAAGGGUGUGUAGGUGGAUAUAUUAGUCUCUUGUUAAAGACGUGCGCCUAACGUACGGAGUGCGAGGGAAACGGUAUAUCUUAGAGUAUGCGAGAGGUGAACGGAACUCACGGUGUAGGGGUGAAAUCCGUUGAUAUCGUGGGGAACACCAA
This 343-nucleotide ribosomal RNA is filed under the name uncultured organism. RNAcentral describes it as "bacterial SSU rRNA". It matches the Rfam family "Bacterial small subunit ribosomal RNA", at positions 367 to 712 of the family's 1533-position model. The record is from RNAcentral.